UCCCAAUCCCGAUCUGAUCCCGAUCCCAAUCUGAUCCCAAUCCCGUUCCCAUUCCUGUUCCCAUUCCCCGUUCCCGGUCUUCUCCCAGUCCUGUUCCCGUUCUGCUCCCAAUCCUAUUCCCAUUCCCGAUCCCGUUCCUGGUCCAUUCUUGAUCCCAUUCCCAAUCCUGAUCUGUUCCCAUUCCUGAUCCUGAUCCUGAUCCCAUUCCCGAUCCCAUUCCCCAUUCCUGGUCUGCUCCCGAUCCCGUUCCCGAUCCCAAUUCCGUUCCCAUUCCCGAUCCAGAUCCCAAUCCCAUUCCUGUUCCCAUUCCCAAUUCCUGUUCCCGAUCCCAUUCCCCAUUCUUGGUCUGAUCUCAAUCCCGUUCCUGUUCCCAAUCCCAUUCCCAGUCCUGGUCCCGAUCCAGAUCCCGUUCCCAGUCCGAUCCCAAUCCCAUUCCUGGUCCAUUCCCGUUCCUGUUCCCGGUCUGAUCCCGAUCCCGUUCCCGAUCCCGGUCGGAUCCCGGUCGGAUCCCGGUGUCUCGAUCCCGUUCCGCUCCCGGUGUCUGAUCUGGGUCUCCUGAUCCCGAUCCCGGCGUCCCGGUCCAUUCCGGAUCCCCAGAUCCCGUUCCUGGUCCAAUCCCGAUCCCGGUGUCCUGGUCAGUUCCCGGUGUCCCGGUCCCUUCUGGAUCCCGCUCAGAUCCCGUUCCCGGUGUCCCGGUCCCUUCUGGAUCCCGCUCAGAUCCCGUUCCCGGUGUCCCGGUCCGUUCUGGAUCCCGCUCGGAUCCCGUUCCCGGUGUCCCGGUCCGUUCUGGAUCCCGCUCAGAUCCCGUUCCCGGUGUCCCGGGCUGUUCUGGAUCCCGCUCAGAUCCCGUUCCCGGUGUCCCUCUCCCGGUGUCCGCCGCCCCCCGCGUCAUCUGGUGCACGUCCGGCGGCC
Molecule: long non-coding RNA, 912 nt
Filed under: Serinus canaria (Common canary)
Lineage: Eukaryota; Metazoa; Chordata; Aves; Passeriformes; Fringillidae
Description: lncRNA (ENSSCAG00000003247.1)
Source: RNAcentral